CCUAGUUACCAGCACGUUAUGGUGGGCACUCUAAGGAGACUGCCGGUGACAAACCGGAGGAAGGUGGGGAUGACGUCAAGUCAUCAUGGCCCUUACGGCCUGGGCUACACACGUGCUACAAUGGUCGGUACAAAGGGUUGCCAAGCCGCGAGGUGGAGCUAAUCCCAUAAAACCGAUCGUAGUCCGGAUCGCAGUCUGCAACUCGACUGCGUGAAGUCGGAAUCGCUAGUAAUCGUGAAUCAGAAUGUCACGGUGAAUACGUUCCCGGGCCUU
This 273-nucleotide ribosomal RNA is filed under the name uncultured Pseudomonas sp. RNAcentral's name for it is "partial 16S ribosomal RNA". It matches the Rfam family "Bacterial small subunit ribosomal RNA", at positions 1110 to 1382 of the family's 1533-position model. The record is from RNAcentral. Lineage: Bacteria; Pseudomonadati; Pseudomonadota; Gammaproteobacteria; Pseudomonadales; Pseudomonadaceae.